Molecule: non-coding RNA, 25 nt
Filed under: Cricetulus griseus (Chinese hamster)
Lineage: Eukaryota; Metazoa; Chordata; Mammalia; Rodentia; Cricetidae
Source: RNAcentral
AUAAAUCCAAUGACUUAGUUUGAAC